GCCUCGGUAGCUCAGUUGGAUAGAGCAACGGUUUUCUAAACCGUGGGUCAGGGGUUCGAAUCCCUUCCGGGGUACAA
This 77-nucleotide transfer RNA is filed under the name Pedobacter rhizosphaerae. RNAcentral describes it as "tRNA_Arg_TCT". It matches the Rfam family "tRNA". Rfam says of the family: Transfer RNA (tRNA) molecules are approximately 80 nucleotides in length. Their secondary structure includes four short double-helical elements and three loops (D, anti-codon, and T loops). The record is from RNAcentral. Lineage: Bacteria; Pseudomonadati; Bacteroidota; Sphingobacteriia; Sphingobacteriales; Sphingobacteriaceae. RNAcentral also lists the same sequence under 2 other names.